Molecule: long non-coding RNA, 4455 nt
Organism: Tyto alba (common barn owl)
Lineage: Eukaryota; Metazoa; Chordata; Aves; Strigiformes; Tytonidae
Exons: 3
Source: RefSeq, a predicted model, not a curated record
GCAAAAGCAAAGCACUGCUAGCCCAAGGCAGAAAAGUUUUUGACAAUGAGACAGAUUUUGCCAUGAUGCUGAUACUAUUGUCUAGACUACGCAGGUUGCUGCACUGUGUGUUACACUGCACUGAGUUCUAAAUCAGGACGUGAGUGCUGGCUGUUCAGAUCUAAUCCUGUCUGAAACUUCCCAUAGCCUGUAUGUUUAAUCAAUAGUGUGCAAUUUAGCAGUAUUACAUAAGAUAUGUUGUGUAGACUACAGAGGAAACAUAACUUUUUUUCCAGCUAUGUAUAUUUUGUCAGUUUUACAUCUUUGUCAUCAUAUCUUCAUCUUAAAAAUUUUAAUAGCUAUAUAUAAACUUACAUCUCUUAGUGUUCUGUAAAUUCAUUCACUCAGGGAACUCUGCAGCUGUUAAACAUCUCAGUGUCAUGCAGAUGACGUUAGACAUUUAAACUGACAAUGAUGUACAGUAAAAACAGUAGCAGUACAAAUAGAGUUACUUUACUGAGGGAUAUAGUCAGUAGGUAGCCUUCUCCCAUUAGUGUCAUAUCCAGAUCAAAAGUAUUUUGAGUACUCCAACUCAGAACAUACUGGCUUGAUGUAGAAAUUCCCAGGAUAUCUAUGCAUCUGUUACAAAGGCCAGACUAGAUAAUCAUAAAUACAACUUCUGAGUUGAGAAUUCACAUUAAGUAUUUCUUAUAUUUAUUCUUUAUAUUCUAUAUUAAACAUAGAGGAAACCCAAUUGUAUUUAAUAUUGAUCACUUUAAUUAAAAAGCUUACCUAUCCAGUGUUCCUUUCAGCCAACAGCUUUCUUCCUCAGAAGUUAUCAGUAUAAAAUAGAGAGGCUCUGCCAUAUUAGUUAAAGGAUGCCUGUGGGCUUUGCAGGACAAUAGCGCUGGAACAGUGUAUGGCAAGUCAACUCAAGCGUCAAGUCUGAGAGGCCCAUGUUCUGUUCUCCCAGCCAGUUAAGUUCAGUUGCAGAGCAGUCAAAGGUUCGUUAGUAUCUUAGAGCAAACAUAAAUAACAUUGCAUUAUUUGGUAACACUAAAUUUUUUUGGGUCAUUUUCUUGCUGUUAGUUUUAUGAAAAAUGUAAUGCUAAUUUCCACUAGUGGUGGACAGAUGGUCAAGAAUCUUCAUUGUACUGUAGUGCAAAAGGGAUGAAAAAUUAACAAUACAUAACCAGGUCACCAUGUCUCCCCUCUGUGACAGUGAAGUUGUGUUCCUUUCAGUACGGUUAGUUGUCUGACCUAUUUUUAAUAGUGUUCUAGGUCAAAAUUUUUCACAUCUUCCCAUUUUCUCUGCAGCACACAUGUAACUUCACUGAACUUUGAGAGUUUUGUAUGCAUAAAAGACAAUCCCAGGAUAAUAACAAGGUGAAGAUGAAUAUAGAAACAGGUACAAAGAAUGCAGAAUUUUUUUCUUUCCCUCCACUGUAAAUAAAUAAAAUAAUUACGUAUGUAAGCUUACCCUAAAAAGAAUGCAAAUACAUCUUUUAAUUAAAUACUUUACACAAGUACUUUAUACCUCCUACAAUUUGAUUAGUUGAUGCCAAUAUCCACUGAAACAUAGGAAAAUUUUUCAAUUUAUAAAUUAAACAUAGAGUCAAGCCACAUCCCUCUUAGUUAAAAAGUUAUAUAUGAGAAAGUGACAGAGAUGGCUGGAGCACUGAAUUCAGGAUAGCCAGAAGAAAAGAACCCUAUUUUAGUGCAUUAAACAGCCCUUAGACGAGAAAGUUCUGCCCUGUUUGCUUAUUUUAGUCUUUGGAUUGCCAACAUAUUUUUUUGCUGCAUGCAGAAACUGUUUUAUUUCAGAAUGUAAUAGGUGGCAGUCAUUAUCAUCUGUUUUUCUGUCCACAAACAGUUAACAUGUCUUUUCUUCCACACAAAGAAUGACUGAUUUGCUUAGACUACAACAACAGAAAGACAGUAAGGCUAGGCUCUGCAAGUAAUCUAACUGCUUGCCUUUAAACCACAAAUUUAACUUUGGUAAACUGUCCACUGGAUCCACCCAGACUCUGACAAACAUGAGCCUGCAAACAAGUGGCAUUUAACCAUCACUGUCCUUUUUUUCAGUUGUCUGAUUUGGGGGCUGAACUGAGAAAAAAUAAGUAAGUUCCUUUAUAAAGCCUUCAUCCAGAAAUGCAUUCUAUCCUUUUUAACCAAGCAGGUGAAUGAGAGUUUUUUCACACUUGUCUUGAGGAGUGUUUCUCUGCCCAAGAAGUGUAACAGAGCAGCCGAGAUGAAACACUAGAUGCUAACUGGGCAAGUACUGACUUCAGAAUACCAUGAAAGAGACUUCUUCCUUAGUUGACCAAACUAAUUAACUAAGGAGAAAACUAAUCCAGAAAAAAAAAGAUAGAUUCCUGGAUGAUUAGUGGGAUGAAAUGGUUCAUCAUCCAAGGGAGGAGGAAACUCACAAAUGAGAACACAAGAAGUGGAAAAAAGAGAAGGUCAAGCAUGGAAGGCAAGGUUUUGAAAUCAUCUGAUUUCUCGGAUCCUGCCUGCUACCAUGUGGUGUAGCUGCUGAUUGAAAGCCUGAACAGAGUUUGGAGGAUGGAGCCACCAAUCCACUAUUCCUGCACAAAAACACUAGUUAUAGGAAAAGGUUGCCAUUACAGCAAGUAACUUCUUUCCCUGUUUGGCAGAUUUUACGCCAGAAGGAAGAAGGAUUUGAGAAUGUUUUUCAGUAUCCUUCCUGUUACCCUGGGUAAAAAUGUACCAACAUCAAAUCCCUUUAUUGUCUGGUUGAUUUCUUCACCUCUUCCCAUUUUCUGUUUGUCGCUCAUGGCAAUUUUCAACACUUUUUCUAGCUGUUUAUUUUUUUGUCAUCUGAAGAUCAACAAAUUUCAAAGUAGAAUCAAGACCAUUUCAGAGGUAUGUAUGUUUUACCAGAAGGUAUGAUCACUGGUAGAACAAAAUGCCACCCUUAGGAAAAAAUUGUAAAGGUUUAAUCUUGCAUAGUUAGACAACUGUAUACUCUUAUAGCAACCUCUCUUAAGUUGUGAGAAUCUGAAAACACUUUGGUUUCACUGAGCACCAAACCUUGUACUGCUUAACUGAUCUAGAGGGCUAAAGAUGUAGGACAACAUAACUAUGUCCAUUACAGAAUAUAAACGUAUAAAAGCAUGGGAAACAAGUUGCACUUGGCACAUGAGACCAUCAUGGGAAGGGAGAUAUUCAGCUGCUUAUUUUUGUCUGGGGAGGCAAAACAAUAUGUUGGUAGCUAUCUACAAAGAGAAGAAAAAUAUUCUAUUCCAUGUAAAAUAAAAAACAGCAGUAGUGGGUACAGUACUUUAAUUAAUAUGGCAGUAAAAUAGAAUAUGAGUUAUUGGAAAAAGCAUCUGAGCUAUGGAAGAUAAGACGACAAGGAUUUAAUUUUCAGAGAAUUUUGUGGAGUAGAGAGGUAAAAGAAGGGCACUUUGCUAAUAAAUAGAAGCAUUUGUACCCCCUACUAAAUACCAAUUCUGUAUCUAUUUACUUAAAAAUUGGGAUCAUUCAACAGUACUGGAUAAACCAAAAGCACAAAAUAUUGGCCACAUUUCAGAACAAAAUUGACCAAGUUGGGAAGACUGCUGGAAUUCAUCAUUAGAAUACUGCUUUUCGUUGUUCUUUCUAAAAACAGCUAAGAAACAAGUGUUUCUCACACUGCUUAUCGUUAUUUUUAAAACUGGCAUGGUAUCCAUUACAGCUCUGUGAACUAUUUGUAUAUAUCUCUGAAUCAAUGCUAAGUGACACUCAAAUUUAACAUUCUGUUCUUUCACAAGCCCAAACACAUGCUGGUAAUAUUUACUUACCAGGGAAUCUGGCAGAUUGCCUCCCACCAAAAGCCCUCCCUCACUCCAUCCCAAUGACCUUUUCAUGGCUCUUUAGCUCCCUGAAACCCUCUAGAACCAGCAGAGAAGAAUACUGAGAUUUAUCAGCAGACAAGAUGAAUGAAGUUAGGAUUUAUUCAGCCUGUAACAAGUGUACAGGAAGUAGCUUACAACUGAACAGCGUUCUGCUUCUAAAUCCGCUAUAAAAACAAGUUCACCAAGUUCUUCAGGGCAGAGGAGCAUAUAGUGAAAUAUGGCUGGAUUAUUGGUGGAGGGAGGGAUGGACACGGACCCGGGGUAUGGGAGGGACACAAGUGAGAUUAGAUUUUACAUUAACUUUUUGUUCUUGCUAAGAAUUUAUUGUUAAGUUCUCUAUUAAGAGCAAUCAUAUGACUGAUAGUAUGUUGGCCUCUUAAGCAAAAAGAUUAUGAAGAUUUUUAUUUAUGAGAACUGGAAAAAGAAAUGCCAGUUUUACAUUAUUUGCUAGUGAAUAAUUUACUUCAUAUUUUAUAGGGCAGCAAAUAAAUAUAUGCAAAUAGCUUAAGGCACCCACAGGGAGAGUCAUGGAAUGUUUUGUGUUCUUUUCAAGACUGUAUCUGCAUUGACUGAAUGGGAGUAAAACCUCAGACAUUAAAGUUAUUUCAGAAGGAAA